CAUUUGGAUUCAGAGCGAAGACAAAGACAGACGAGAGCGGCAGCUUCCUCCCUACUCCCUACUCUCUCCUACUCCUUCCCCUUCCUACUCCACUGACGGACGGGACUCGGCCUUCUUCUUGCCUUCCUCUCCCCCCUCCCCCCUCCCGCCGCCGCCUUCCUCCGCCGGGGCUGGUUCAGCUACUAACUGCGGCCGGGGGAAGGAGAAAGGCCGCGUCUUUCCCGGCCACCUUUCGGCUCGCCCCCAGCCCACGCGGGAGCCGGAUUGGGAUGGAGUCGGCGGCCGGCGGCGGGCUGGGCAGCAUGCGCGCGGUGCUCGCCAUCCUCCAGUGGUGGGGCUUCAACGUCACCGUCAUCAUCAUCAACAAAUGGAUCUUCCAGAAGCUGGAUUUCAAGUUCCCCCUGACGGUGUCCUGCGUCCACUUCAUAUGCUCUUCCAUCGGGGCAUACGUCGCGAUCCACGUGCUCAAGGCGAAGCCGCUGAUUCAGGUCGAGCCCGAGGACCGCUGGAAGAGGAUCUUCCCCAUGUCCUUCGUGUUCUGCAUGAACAUCGUGCUCGGGAACGUCAGCCUGCGCUACAUCCCGGUCUCCUUCAUGCAGACUAUCAAAUCGUUCACCCCUGCAACCACAGUUAUUCUGCAGUGGUUGGUUUGGAGCAAGCACUUCGAGUGGCGCAUAUGGGCUUCGCUGGUCCCGAUAGUCGGGGGGAUCCUCCUAACCUCAAUGACAGAGCUCAGCUUCAACAUUUUUGGUUUCUGUGCUGCCAUGAUUGGCUGCCUCGCCACGUCUACCAAGACCAUCUUGGCAGAGUCCCUGCUCCAUGGAUACAAAUUUGACAGCAUUAACACAGUGUACUACAUGGCACCCUUUGCCACCAUGAUACUGGCUCUACCAGCAAUGUUGCUUGAAGGAGGUGGCGUAAUCGACUGGUUCUACACGCACGACUCUGUCUUUUCUUCGCUGAUUAUCAUCCUAGGCUCAGGGGUGCUUGCGUUUUGCCUCAACUUCUCCAUCUUCUACGUGAUCCAUUCAACCACCGCUGUGACCUUCAAUGUUGCUGGCAACCUUAAAGUUGCUGUCGCCGUGUUGGUCUCGUGGUUGAUCUUCCGGAACCCAAUCUCCCCCAUGAAUGCAAUUGGAUGCGCAAUCACGCUCGUCGGCUGUACUUUCUAUGGGUAUGUGAGGCAUCUCAUCUCCCAACAGCAGGCUGCUGCGCCCCUAGGGAGCCAAGGAACGAACUCGCCGAGAAGUCGGGUGGAGAUGCUCCCCCUUGUAGGCGACAAGGAAGAUAAGGUCUAGCAAGGCAAUACUCCCAUAUUCAAGAGCCGUUCAUUUCAGCGGUUGACGGUACAUUACAGUUUGGCACACAGAUGCUGAGUUGAGGGAGGCCAGUAAAUUGGUAGGGGGGCAACACUUUUUUGUGAAGCUACAUUAUGUUGUACUCGGGCAAACUGCGAGGGUUUGUUCAGUUACUAGUUCUCAUAGGGUUACUAGUUAUCUACUUAAUCAAAUCCCCCCGGACAAUUCGUGCGAUUAGGAUGGUGCUUCUGUUUUCUUGUUUUGCUGCCAUAUGUUUAGACCUUAAACUGCUGGUAUGAAAAUUAAUGGCAUUAUGAUACGAGUCAUCUUUGCAUCGAAAUUCUGUUGCACAUUGU
Molecule: ribosomal RNA, 1654 nt
Filed under: Triticum aestivum (bread wheat)
Lineage: Eukaryota; Viridiplantae; Streptophyta; Magnoliopsida; Poales; Poaceae
Description: partial small subunit ribosomal RNA
Source: RNAcentral